This 484-nucleotide ribosomal RNA is filed under the name uncultured bacterium. RNAcentral describes it as "partial 16S ribosomal RNA". It matches the Rfam family "Bacterial small subunit ribosomal RNA", at positions 28 to 523 of the family's 1533-position model. The record is from RNAcentral.
GACGAACGCUGGCGGCGUGCUUAACACAUGCAAGUCGAACGAUGAAGCUGGAGCUUGCUCCGGUGGAUUAGUGGCGAACGGGCGAGUAACACGUGAGCAAUCUGCCCUUGACUCUGGGAUAACUGCGGGAAACUGUAGCUAAUACCGGAUACUUUCACUGGAAGGCAUCUUCUGGUGAAGAAAGAAUUUCGGUCAAGGAUGAGCUCGCGGCCUAUCAGAUUGUUGGUGAGGUAACGGCUCACCAAGGCGACGACGGGUAGCCGGCCUGGGAGGGUGACCGGCCACACUGGGACUGAGACACGGCCCAGACUCCUACGGGAGGCAGCAGUGGGGAAUAUUGCACAAUGGGCGCAAGCCUGAUGCAGCAACGCCGCGUGAGGGAUGAAGGCCUUCGGGUUGUAAACCUCUUUUAGCAGGGAAGAAGCGAAAGUGACGGUACCUGCAGAAAAAGCACCGGCUAACUACGUGCCAGCCGCCGCCGUAA